GUGGGUGAAGGCAUUAAAAAAAACAAAGGCACAUCUAUGAGAAAAUAAUUUCAAAUUGUAAAAAAGUCACAUUUUUAGAGAAUGGAUAAAAGCGAUUGAAAAAAACAGAGGCACAUCUAUAAGAAACCAACUUCAAACUGUAAAAAAAAAAAAAGUCACAGAUGCCAACCAGACACUGCAACCAGAUCUGGUAUCUAAGGUCAGAUUUUCAACCACUUAGAUAAACCUGGGGACAGAAUGUAAUGUCAGUAGCUUAUGUGAACUGAAACGUGAAAUCCAAUUUUGAGACAGACUUCCCUUUUAAAUUAGUCACAGCAAUUUACCAGGUGAGCCUUAAGGAAAAUUCCAACUUCACACACAACAAACACCUGCCAAACGCAGCAGCAGCACGCCCCCCACCCCACACACAUACACACAUAACCCUUUUUCCUACCUCCUUCCUUAGCAACAAGAUGCAGACACACAAAGUGAACUUCAGCCUGGGAGCUGGCCGCAAGCCCAGGGUUAAACGAGUUCUCUUAAGUACCACCCCGUGGCAGCCAGAAGAUGCCACCCAAAUAGAGGAAAGGGAGACCUUGGGCUCCCCGUGACUUCGGGCGAUUCAUUCAACCCUUCGGGCUCCGUUGGCUCAAAUCAAGAUUAAGGGUUUGGUUUGGGGAUGCUGUUUGGGGUUCCCAAAGCUCUAUGAGUAAAAGGUUGGGGUGCCCCGUAUGACCCAGCUUGGCACGGGGUGCGAUGAGCAAGGAGGAAGAGGACGAGGAGUUGAAGGUGGGAGAAGGGGGAUGCUCUCCUCGGCCCAACAGCCGAGCUGCCCCCGCCCCGCCCGGGACUCUCCGAGGGAGGAGGGCGGGGAUGCCGCGCCCCCGGGGGCGCCCCUCCCUUCGCCCCCUGGACACCUGCGUUUACGCGCGCGCGUCCGGGGAAGCGACCGUCCGAGUCUAGCGCUCGUCUCCCCGCCGAGCCAACGGUCCUUACCGGCGCCCACUGCCUCGUACGCCUGCCCGCCUGCCCGCCUGCCCGCCCGAGGCUGCGGUUCGCGUCCAGUCCUUGCCCGAGGCCGCCGGGAGUCACACACCUCGACCUCGACCUCCUCCUCCUUCUCCCCAGAGUUAAACCAGGCCUGGGCAAACAUUCAAGUUGUGGGAGCUGGGAGGGAAGGCUGUGAGCAGAGGAAGCACCCAAAGUGA
RNAcentral lists this long non-coding RNA (1187 nucleotides) under Phascolarctos cinereus (koala). Its description in RNAcentral is "lncRNA (ENSPCIG00000011066.2)". The record is from RNAcentral. Lineage: Eukaryota; Metazoa; Chordata; Mammalia; Diprotodontia; Phascolarctidae.